GACGAACGCUGGCGGCGUGCUUAACACAUGCAAGUCGAACGGAAAGGCCCUGCUUUUGUGGGGUGCUCGAGUGGCGAACGGGUGAGUAACACGCGAGUAACCUGCCCUUGACUUUGGGAUAACUUCAGGAAACUGGGCCUAAUACCGGAUAGGAGCUCCUGCUGCAUGGUGGGGGUUGGAAAGUUUCGGCGGUUGGGGAUGGACUCGCGGCUUAUCAGCUUGUUGGUGGGGUAGUGGCUUACCAAGGCUUUGACGGGUAGCCGGCCUGAGAGGGUGACCGGCCACAUUGGGACUGAGAUACGGCCCAGACUCCUACGGGAGGCAGCAGUGGGGAAUAUUGCACAAUGGGCGGAAGCCUGAUGCAGCAACGCCGCGUGCGGGAUGACGGCCUUCGGGUUGUAAACCGCUUUCGCCUGUGACGAAGCGUGAGUGACGGUAAUGGGUAAAGAAGCACCGGCUAACUACGUG
This 468-nucleotide ribosomal RNA is filed under the name uncultured bacterium. RNAcentral describes it as "partial 16S ribosomal RNA". It matches the Rfam family "Bacterial small subunit ribosomal RNA", at positions 28 to 507 of the family's 1533-position model. The record is from RNAcentral.